GAUUUUUGGCCUUUAGAGGAAAAAGCACAUAUUUAAACCUCUAGUUGGCUAGUUGCUUAUGGAAAUUGCUUUUUAUGCUUAAAUACUAAGUGCAGAUACUUCUGCGCUAAGUCUUGAAUAGAUUGAGUUUUGACUUUAGUGGAGACAUUAUUAUCAUUAGGAUGUUGUAUCUGUAUUCAUAUAAGUUUUAAGUACUGUGAGAGCUAGCAUCGCACUUCAUCCCACUGUAUAGCAUUACAUAUCGCUCGAAAUAUGAUUAUCAAGCACUUAGUCUAUAUAAAAACUCAAUAAACAUAUUAUAACGAAUUUAACUUUCCAUGUUGCUGCUUAGCUAACUCCAUCUGUCGGUAAUUGAUAAUUGAAGCUCAAAGGGUCAUUCAAAACACGAAGUAUCCCAAAUUUGUCAGUUCUGGAGAGAGUUAAUAUACACUACCUCUCCGGUGGAGGAGAUUUACCGUUGCGUUAAACUUACCCUUUUCAUUCGGAACUUAAUACAAAAACGGGGUAAUAUAUAUAGUAGAGGAAUAAUGCCAAGUCAAUGAUUCAGAAAAAAAAAAAAAAAAAAAAAAAGAAAGAAAGAAAUAAAGAAAGAAAGAAAGAGGAAAGGGAAGGAGCAAUUAGAUGAUUUAGAACCCCACAAGAAAGCUUGAAUGGACACAGCAUAUUUAUAUAUGCUUGUGAAAUAACUGUUCUUGCUUUAAGAUCAAAAUAUAUUGCUUUGAUUAGAAGCUAUAAAGCUUACCAAAUUGUGAGGAAAGUGCAUUUGGGAUCUCUCUUUAGUUAAUAUCUUCUUGUUUAGAGCAAAGAGUCUUGUUCUUUUCCUCUUCUUUCUUUAGUUUUCUAUUGGUUCUUUCUUUG
RNAcentral lists this long non-coding RNA (858 nucleotides) under Jatropha curcas. RNAcentral's name for it is "long non-coding RNA (JCUR_LNC000331)". Lineage: Eukaryota; Viridiplantae; Streptophyta; Magnoliopsida; Malpighiales; Euphorbiaceae. The record is from RNAcentral.